AAGUGAGAUGGAAAUCGGUUUGCGUCACAAGUGUCAGAAUCUUACCAGGAUAAACAAAGAGGAUUUUAAAUUAAGUGAAGGAGUAAAGAGGAGUUUUGUGUAAGCAGUGAAAAUAAGCUACUGAGCUACUGAAGAAACAACACCGUGUCAUAUUACAGCUAUCUGUCUAUGAUGAAGCUGAACCUUUUACUUCUGGGCCUCACUGGUCUCAUCCCAUUUGUCUCAUCCCUAUCUAACAUAAGAACUGUCCGUCACGAUUAUCACCUGGUCAUGGAAACAUAUACAUGGCCAGUGGCUCAGAAUUACUGCAGGGUGAUGUACACUGACAUGGCAACAAUCAUAACCGAUGAUGAUUGGUUACGACUAAACAAAGAAGCAGUAAGAAAAGGCUUCAUGUCGUACGUCUGGAUUGGAUUGUACAAUGAUGUCAAUAGCUGGCGCUGGUCCUUAAACGAGCUCCCACUGAAGAAUGUCAUUUAUACCAACUGGCUGUCUGGAAAGCCUGAUAAUUAUGCUGCGAGGGAAUCAUGUGGGGUAAUUAUUACAUAUGGAGCCUGGGAUGAUGGUGUAUGUGCAAGUCCAAAACCCUUUAUAUGUUACAAUGCAAAUUUCGAUGGUGCUUCCAAGUUCAUUGGCAUCUCUAGUCUUUAUCUGACCUGGCUUGAUGCUCAGGCUUACUGCCGAACACAUCACACAGACUUGGCCAGCUCUCUUAACAGCUCAGAUAACGACUUCCUAUGGCAGCUGAGGGAUAUCCAGGGGGAUUCCUGGUUUGGACUCUACAGAGAUACGUGGAGGUGGUCAGAUGGGACCAUCGCUUCAAACCUACCAUGGGUUUCUGGAGAACCUAAUAACUAUUAUGGCAAUGAGAACUGUGUAUCACAUAUUAACAAAGUGUUUAAUGAUUUUUUAUGCGACACGCCAGCCUACUUCUACUGUCACACCAGUGAGAAGUUUGUCCUUAUACUGUUUACUUUAAUAUGAAGUCGAUGGAGAUGUCAAGGAAUUCUAAUAUAAGUAUGGGAUGUUUUUGGCACGUUGUUCAGGCUCUCUCUGUAUGUGUGUGUGUGUGUGUUUGUGUGUGUGUGUGUUUGUGUGUGUUUGUUCCACAGUUCCACUGGUGAGGGAACAGCAGAUUGUGAGACUGCAGGUGAAGACUGAUGGCAGUGUGUUAGAUCCUGCUGUACAGUCGUCUCUUUUAAAGCAGAUAAUGCAGAAACUGGAGGAGCAUGGCAUGAUGGAGAACACCACAGUGACCUGGAGGGUGCAGCCAGAUGGAAACAUCUUCCUCAAGAAAAACAAAGACGAUCUGUAACAUCUAAAUCAGGGGACGUCAAACCCAAAUACUAGUUUUGAGAUACGCUAAAAAGCUGUAACUGACGUCUUUUUAUUUAUUUAUUUAUUUAUUUAUUUAUUUAUUUAUUACAUAUUUAAUGUAUUCUUUCAGCUAACACUAAUGACCCACAGUAUCAAUAGAAUUUCUAUAGGAAACUUUUACCAUUUAAGUUCUGGUUAAAACGGAACGACACAGUGAGCUUCUGGUUUUUAGACAUGAGUGUGAUUUACAUCAAGCACAGCACAUUAUUUUGUAGAUGUGUGAUUUGUGACAUAAUUUACUCUUAACAGUUUCCUUUAUAUGAGUGUACAAAGUCAAACUGAAACGCAAAGUCCAUUUACAUUUUAUUUACAAAUCAGUCAGAAAAAGAAGUGACAUCCAAAUCCACCCAACACUGACUCAUCAUCAAGCCAGUCACAGUAGAACCCAGAGUUUAUAUAAAUGUGACUUUUUAUGGUAACUUGGCUACACUAUAGAUCUGCUGUAAAAUCUGGAUAGUGUGUAGAUGUUCAGCAGCAGUGCAUUAUGGGCCUUUUUCACCUUUAUUCUUCAUGCAUGCCAAAACGAUUGAGGCUCUGGGCUGGAUUUAGUGUGUAGUGUAGUCCUUGUGUUUGGAACAUGUGGUUUAAAUGCGGAUAUGUAAUCUAUA
Long non-coding RNA from Tachysurus fulvidraco (yellow catfish), 1985 nucleotides. RefSeq lists it as uncharacterized. NCBI's taxonomy places the organism in Eukaryota, Metazoa, Chordata, Actinopteri, Siluriformes, Bagridae. The transcript has 5 exons. The record is from RefSeq and is a predicted model, not a curated record.